RNAcentral lists this ribosomal RNA (492 nucleotides) under uncultured bacterium. RNAcentral's name for it is "partial 16S ribosomal RNA". It matches the Rfam family "Bacterial small subunit ribosomal RNA", at positions 29 to 507 of the family's 1533-position model. The record is from RNAcentral.
AGUGAACGCUGGUGGUAGGCCUAACACAUGCAAGUCGAACGGCAGCACAGUAAGAGCUUGCUCUUACGGGUGGCGAGUGGCGGACGGGUGAGGAAUACAUCGGAAUCUACUUUUUCGUGGGGGAUAACGUAGGGAAACUUACGCUAAUACCGCAUACGACCUACGGGUGAAAGCAGGGGAUCUUCGGACCUUGCGCGAUUGAAUGAGCCGAUGUCGGAUUAGCUAGUUGGCGGGGUAAAGGCCCACCAAGGCGACGAUCCGUAGCUGGUCUGAGAGGAUGAUCAGCCACACUGGAACUGAGACACGGCCCAGACUCCUACGGGAGGCAGCAGUGGGGAAUAUUGGACAAUGGGCGCAAGCCUGAUCCAGCCAUACCGCGUGGGUGAAGAAGGCCUUCGGGUUGUAAAGCCCUUUUGUUGGGAAAGAAAAGCAGCAGGUUAAUACCCCGCUGUUCUGACGGUACCCAAAGAAUAAGCACCGGCUAACUUCGUG